This is a long non-coding RNA of Lates calcarifer (barramundi perch), 1749 nucleotides long. RefSeq lists it as uncharacterized. Lineage: Eukaryota; Metazoa; Chordata; Actinopteri; Centropomidae. The transcript is spliced from 4 exons. The record is from RefSeq and is a predicted model, not a curated record.
GUUUCUUCAAACCUGCAAUAACAGAUUUUUGGCCACUAGGGGGCAGUGGAAACAAGGUGUUAACACAGCAUAUCACCUGUUAGCAAACAUUCCCUUGUUUACACAUCCAGCAGUUAUGGACCAAUGUUUGCUGUCAUUUGGGGGUAUAUGUCAUAUUUCAGUCCACCUGAUGAAUCUGACCUGUUUGGUGCUUCAGAAAUAAUAACAGCACUGAGAACGGCAACAGCAGUGACAAGAGCCAUUACAACGUUGUCGCAACACAACAACAGAGGACAGACAGCACUCAACUCCAGAUGGGCGCUUCCUGUGCCAGGCAGGAAAUGGCACUGAGCUCCCUCGCCAUCAUAUUUCAUUUUAACAGAGAACAGAGAUGAUCAUCACUUCAUCUUCGGCACAUCCAUCCCCCAACGGGUUAUGCCUCCAUGGGUGCCGCCAUUAUUGUGUGAUGUCAAACAACUGCCUCUCCAUGAAGCUGUGGGUGGAUGGAGGGUAAAUGGAAGAAGACCAUACAGAGCCUUGGUACAGAAGGACACAAUGAGGUGGCAGCUCCGCUUGGCUGGUCAGGCAUAGCCGGAACAGGAAGAGAGAUUACCUCCCAGAGGUUCUCUGUGGGUGUGUGUGCGCGCGUGUGUAUGAACGCAUGCAUGUGUGUGACAUCCUUUUCCAAUUAGGAACACAUUCACCUCUUUCCCACCAGGGUCAAUGGUGCAAUAUCUUGCUUCUGGAAAACUCUGUGCUAUCUCUGCUUAGUUUCUGAACAGUGGGCCAAACAACAUGGCAGGGUGCUAUUACUGUAUUUUUGAAUUCUUGGCAGAAUGUGCCCUGCCUUUCAUGGACAACCGCGUGAAUACAUAUGUAUGUACAUACAGUAACUCAGAAAGAAAAAGAAGGGUUGAACUUGACUUUUCCAUCCAUUCAUCCAUUAACUAAACCUGUUUGUCACAGGGGAGCUGAAGUUGAGCUGAUGGCUUUCCCAGCAUGCAUUGUGCGAGAGGUGGGGUACAGAUUGACAGUUGCCUGUAUAUAAUGGUGCAGUAUAAAAAUCCAUAAUGAUGUAAGAUUUUUCCCAUCCUUGUUAUAGCUGUGCACCUGCUAACUGCACCAGCUUGCCUUUGGUAACAGUAUAGUUAUCGUGGGUUAAGUUUCACACAUGUACUGAGCAAUUCUUUGGUGCACACUGAGGGUACUGUUACAAUCUUACACUGUAAAUGAACUGAAUAUAGGCCAAAAAACUAAGGGGUCCCACCCCUAAUAAUAUUUGUAUGUACUAUAAUGUAAGAGCAACUUAAAAAUGUCAAGAGGAGAAAAGAAAAUCCCAACAUAUACAAAAGUGCCCAUGGAAAGGUUAUUAUUAAAUCUGUUAAGAAUGUUUCUGUCAUGGCAACAGCUGCAUAUUAGUUUGUUUUUGCAUUUUUAUGCAACAUUUGGACUUUACUUCACUGUUUGCCUUCACUGACUACCUACCUGUUGCUGAUCAUGUUUUUGAACAUAGAUAGAUAGAUGGGAAAUUGUGUUACAGCCGCUAGAUAUAAGAACAAAGAGCAAACAAUACAGAACAACAUAUACAUGUUAUUUUAUUUGUACAUAGCAGCUACACCCUUCUUAUUCACGAUAUUAUAGUCAGUUUCAGUUCUGGAUACGUUGUAGAACACAGUAGCAGCAGACAGGAAUGACUUCCUGUGGCGCUCUGUUCUGUAUCUCAGCUUGAAGAGUCCCCUGCUGAACACACUCUUCCUGCUGGGCAGCAUG